This 348-nucleotide unclassified non-coding RNA is filed under the name soil metagenome. Its description in RNAcentral is "partial contains 5.8S ribosomal RNA, internal transcribed spacer 2, and large subunit ribosomal RNA". The stretch from base 1 to 120 matches the Rfam family "5.8S ribosomal RNA", at positions 35 to 154 of the family's 154-position model. The record is from RNAcentral.
GAUGAAGAACGUAGCGAAAUGCGAUAAGUAAUGUGAAUUGCAGAAUUCAGUGAAUCAUCGAAUCUUUGAACGCACAUUGCGCCCGCCAGUAUUCUGGCGGGCAUGCCUGUCUGAGCGUCAUCUCAACCCUCAUGCCCCUAGGGCGUGGUGUUGGGGAUCGGCCAAAGCCCGCGAGGGACGGCCGGCCCCUAAAUCUAGUGGCGGACCCGUCGUGGCCUCCUCUGCGAAGUAGUGAUAUUCCGCAUCGGAGAGCGAUGAGCCCCUGCCGUUAAACCCCCAACUUUCCAAGGUUGACCUCAGAUCAGGUAGGAAUACCCGCUGAACUUAAGCAUAUCAAUAAGCGGAGGA